RNAcentral lists this ribosomal RNA (422 nucleotides) under uncultured bacterium. RNAcentral's name for it is "bacterial SSU rRNA". It matches the Rfam family "Bacterial small subunit ribosomal RNA", at positions 355 to 775 of the family's 1533-position model. The record is from RNAcentral.
UGGGGAAUAUUGGACAAUGGGCGGAAGCCUGAUCCAGCAACGCCGCGUGAGGGAUGACGGCCUUCGGGUUGUAAACCUCUUUCAGCGGGGGCGAAGUUUUGUCUUUUUGGGCGAAGUGACGGUACCCGCAGAAGAAGCACCGGCCAACUACGUGCCAGCAGCCGCGGUAAUACGUAGGGUGCGAGCGUUGUCCGGAAUUAUUGGGCGUAAAGGGCUCGUAGGCGGUUUGUCACGUCGGGAGUGAAAACUCGGGGCUUAACUCCGAGCCUGCUUCCGAUACGGGCUGACUAGAGGUAUGCAGGGGAGAACGGAAUUCCUGGUGUAGCGGUGAAAUGCGCAGAUAUCAGGAGGAACACCGGUGGCGAAGGCGGUUCUCUGGGCAUUACCUGACGCUGAGGAGCGAAAGUGUGGGGAGCGAACAG